AUGGCCGUCCUCAGAGCAUCCCUGCUCCCACCCCAGCCUCUUCCCUCUUCCUCCUCCUCCUCCACCCCCCAGUCUCAGCGGCUCCCCAGUGGCAGCAUCACCGCUGCAGCCCUGUCAAGAACAAGCCCGCACCCUCCUCCUCUCAAGACCGGCUGCCGCGGCAGCGCCAAGAAGAUCCUUCUUGCAGGAAGAGGGCGACUCCCCUGCUUGCCCACAAAGCAAGAGGUCGUCGCGGUAGGCGGUGCGGAGGAGGAACGAUACCUCGCGAGGGAGGCCGGGUGGGGAGUGCGGCGGAUGGGGCGGAUCGGCGAGGAGAUGAGGCGGGUGGCGCUCGUGCAGGCCGAGGCCUUCCACGUCCCCGUUGCGCUCUUCAACGACUUCUUCUUCGAUUUCUUCAAAGCAGAGGUGUUGGCGGCGCUCAUUUACAAACUGAGGAAUUCGCCGCCUGACAGGUAUGCGUGCUUGGUGGCAGAAGAAGCUGAUGAGCCGUCGCAGUCGCAGGCACCAUUUGAGAAGAUCAUUGGGGUGGUGGAUUGCACGGUGCAGGAUGAAGGCGACAUCCUUAGGAACCUCCAAGGUGUCCAGGAGUACUUUUACGUAUCAGGAAUAGCAGUGCUGCCAUCAUACAGGAGGAGGAAGGUGGGCACCGCCCUGCUGAAAGCGUGCGAGGUGUUGGCUCUAGAAUGGAGGCAGAGAUUCAUGGCUCUUAGGGCAUACGAGGAUGACAGCAGCGCUCGAGGACUCUACGCAAAGGCAGGGUACAGGGUGGUGUCAAGGGAUCCUGGAUGGGUCACCUGGGUUGGGAGGAGGAGGCGUGUUCUCAUGGUAAAAGAAUUGCCGGUUCAUGAUGCUCAGAUCCAACAGCAAUGA
This 870-nucleotide ribosomal RNA is filed under the name Triticum aestivum (bread wheat). RNAcentral's name for it is "partial small subunit ribosomal RNA". The record is from RNAcentral. Lineage: Eukaryota; Viridiplantae; Streptophyta; Magnoliopsida; Poales; Poaceae.